AAGUGGGAAACGAUGUGGGAAGGCCCAGACAGCCAGGAUGUUGGCUUAGAAGCAGCCAUCAUUUAAAGAAAGCGUAAUAGCUCACUGGUCGAGUCGGCCUGCGCGGAAGAUGUAACGGGGCUAAACCAUGCACCGAAGCUGCGGCAGCGACGCUGAUGCGUUGUUGGGUAGGGGAGCGUUCUGUAAGCCUGUGAAGGUGGCCUGUGAGGGUUGCUGGAGGUAUCAGAAGUGCGAAUGCUGACAUAAGUAACGAUAAAGCGGGUGAAAAGCCCGCUCGCCGGAAGACCAAGGGUUCCUGUCCAACGUUAAUCGGGGCAGGGUGAGUCGACCCCUAAGGCGAGGCCGAAAGGCGUAGUCGAUGGGAAACGGGUUAAUAUUCCCGUACUUGGUGUUACUGCGAAGGGGGGACGGAGAAGGCUAUGUUGGCCGGGCGACGGUUGUCCCGGUUUAAGCGUGUAGGUGUGUGUUCCAGGUAAAUCCGGUUCACUUUAACACUGAG
RNAcentral lists this ribosomal RNA (499 nucleotides) under Salmonella enterica. Its description in RNAcentral is "partial 23S ribosomal RNA". It matches the Rfam family "Bacterial large subunit ribosomal RNA", at positions 1061 to 1560 of the family's 2925-position model. The record is from RNAcentral. Lineage: Bacteria; Pseudomonadati; Pseudomonadota; Gammaproteobacteria; Enterobacterales; Enterobacteriaceae.